GUUAGUUUUUAAGAGCGUUCGGUGGAUGCCUUGGUAUCAGGGGCCGAUGAAGGACGUGGUGGACUGCGAUAAGCCUCGGGGAGCUGUCUGACAGGCUUUGAUCCGAGGGUUUCCGAAUAGGGGAACCUAGCAAGAGUAAUGUCUUGUUACCUGCGCCUGAAUGUAUAGGGCGUGUGGGGGUGUACGCGGGGAAGUGAAACAUCUUAGUACCCGCAGGAAAAGAUAUUCCGUUAGUAGUGGCGAGCGAAAGCGGAUUAGGUGAAACCGUGUUAGUGUGAUAGACGCCAGUUGUUGCUGAUGCGGGGUUGUGGGGCGUGUUUGUUACAUUCUCUGGCGGGGGUGUGCGUAGUUAUAAAUGUUUGGUGUAGUUGAAUAGUCUGGGAAGGCUAAGCGUAGACGGUGAUACUCCGGUAGGCGAAACAUCAGGCACUGCGUUGGAUGCGUUCCCAAGUAGCACGGGGCUCGUGGAAUCUUGUGUGAAUUUGCUAAGACCACUUAGCUGCCUAAAUACUUCCUGGUAACCGAUAGCGGAUAAGUACCGUGAGGGAAUGGUGAAAAGUACCCCGGGAGGGGAGUGAAAUAGUACCUGAAACCGGGCGCUUACAAGCCGUCAAAGCCUUUUGGGGUGAUGGCGUGCCUAUUGAAGAAUGAGCCUGCGAGUUAGUGGCGUGUCGCGAGGUUAACCCGUGUGGGGGAUCCGUAGCGAAAGCGAGUCUGAAAGGGCGUUUAGUGGCACGUUCUAGACCCGAAGCGGGGUGAUCUACCCAUGGCCAGGUUGAAGCACGUGUAAGAGCGUGUGGAGGACCGAACCCACUUCAGUUGAAAAUGGAGGGGAUGAGCUGUGGGUAGGGGUGAAAGGCCAAUCAAACUCCGUGAUAGCUGGUUCUCCCCGAAAUGCAUUUAGGUGCAGCGUUGCGUGGUUCCGGGCGGGGGUAGAGCUACUGGAUGGCUGAUGGGCCUUACAGGGUUACUGACGUCAACCAAACUCCGAAUACCGUCCGGGUAUAGCGUGGCAGUGAGACAGCGGGGGAUAAGCUCCGUUGUCGAGAGGGAAACAGCCCAGAUCGCCGGCUAAGGCCCCUAAGCGUGUGCUAAGUGGGAAAGGAUGUGCGGUCGCGUUGACAACCAGGAGGUUGGCUUAGAAGCAGCCAUCCUUGAAAGAGUGCGUAAUAGCUCACUGGUCAAGUGAUCGUGCGCCGACAAUGUAGCGGGGCUCAAGACUGGGUGAAGCGGCCGAGUAAUUGUGUCGUGGACGGUACGCAAGUGAGAAUGCAGGCAUGAGUAGCGAUACUAGGGUGAGAAACCCUAGCGCCGAAUGACCAAGGGUUCCAGGGCUAGGCUAGUCCGCCCUGGGUGAGUCGGGUCCUAAGGCGAGGCCGACAGGCGUAGUCGAUGGAUAACCGGUUGAUAUUCCGGUACCGGCUGGUGACCGUCAAGUGUUGACUGAAAGGUACUAACCCACGCUGAAAACAUGGCUAGGCGCCUUUUGGGUGUUUGGUUGUGGUUUUGGUUUGGGGACAGGCUUUCUUGGUAGGCAAGCGUGUGGAGUGACGCACAGUGGAAGCCUUCGCGAGGUGAUGGUUUACCUCGUUUAACCGUGUAGCUUACUGCUCAGGUAAAUCCGGGUGGUUUUAUGUGAGGCGGGAUGAUGACCACUUUGGGUGGGAAGUAGGGGUGAUCCUGUGGUGCCGAGAAAAGCUUCGACGCGAGGUUGUUAGCCGCCCGUACCCUAAACCGACACAGGUGGUCGGGCAGAGUAUGCCUAGGCGCACGAGAUAAUCAUGGUUAAGGAACUCGGCAAAAUGCCCCCGUAACUUCGGGAGAAGGGGGGCCUGAUACUUGAUGAAACCGUUUUUUGGCUUUCUAGGGUUGAGGGUCGCAGAGACCAGGGAGAAGCGACUGUUUACUAAAAACACAGGUGCGUGCGAAGCCGUAAGGCGAUGUAUACGCACUGACGCCUGCCCGGUGCUGGAAGGUUAAGAGGAACCGUCAGUCACGUUUUGUGGUGAAGCGGUGAAUUUAAGCCCCAGUAAACGGCGGUGGUAACUAUAACCAUCCUAAGGUAGCGAAAUUCCUUGUCGGGUAAGUUCCGACCUGCACGAAUUGGUCACGCUAGUGAUUGUGGAGUCGUUGUUGAAAUACCACUCUGGUUAUAGCGUGUGCCUGAACCUUGGCCCGUGAUCCGGGUUAGGGACAGUGCCUGGUGGGUAGUUUAACUGGGGCGGUUGCCUCCUAAAUUGUAACGGAGGCGCUCAAAGGUUCCCUCAUCCUGGUCGGUAACCAGGUGUUGAGUGUAAGUGCACAAGGGAGCUUGACUGCGAGACUGACAGGUCGAGCAGGUACGAAAGUAGGAACUAGUGAUCCGGCGAUCCCGUGUGGGUGGGUCGUCGCUCAACGGAUAAAAGGUACCCCGGGGAUAACAGGCUGA
Molecule: ribosomal RNA, 2428 nt
Filed under: human oral metagenome
Description: bacterial LSU rRNA
Rfam family: Bacterial large subunit ribosomal RNA
Source: RNAcentral